AUGGGCUCCACGCUCUUCUGCUGUAUGGUCCUCUGCCUCCUGGGAGCAGCCCCCCUGGACACGGCAGUUUCCCAGACUCCAAAACACCUCAUCGCACAGACGGGAAAUAAGAAGUUCCUAAAAUGUGAACAAAAGCUGGGCCACGAUACCAUGUACUGGUAUAAGCAGGACUCCCAGAAAUUGCUGAAGGUCAUGUUUAUCUACAACAAUAAGGAUCUCAUUCUAAAUGAAACAGUUCCAAGAUGCUUCUUACCUGAAUCCCCUGACAAAACUCGUUUAAACCUUCACAUCAACUUCCUGGAGACAGGUGACACUGCUGUGUAUUUCUGUGCCAGCAGCCAGAAUCCAUCCCAGGGUCAGCUUGCCCUGGUUGGGAGUCAGCCUGCUGUAAUCUGA
This is a non-coding RNA of Mustela lutreola (European mink), 396 nucleotides long. The record is from the annotation of a RefSeq genome assembly. Lineage: Eukaryota; Metazoa; Chordata; Mammalia; Carnivora; Mustelidae.